UACAGAGGUCUCAAGCGUUAUUCGGAUUCACUGGGCGUAAAGGGUGCGCAGGCGGCCAAGUGUGUUAGGCGUGAAAGCCUGAGGCUUAACCUCAGAAUUGCACCUAAAACUACAUGGCUAGAGCAUUGGAGAGGGUAGCGGAAUUCACGGUGUAGCAGUGAAAUGCGUAGAUAUCGUGAGGAACACCAGAGGCGAAGGCGGCUACCUGGACAAUUGCUGACGCUCAGGCACGAAAGCGUGGGGAGCAAAAGGG
RNAcentral lists this ribosomal RNA (253 nucleotides) under uncultured bacterium. RNAcentral's name for it is "partial 16S ribosomal RNA". It matches the Rfam family "Bacterial small subunit ribosomal RNA", at positions 524 to 776 of the family's 1533-position model. The record is from RNAcentral.